GAUGAACGCUAGCGGCAGGCCUAAUACAUGCAAGUCGGACGGGAUCCGUCGGAGAGCUUGCUCGAAGACGGUGAGAGUGGCGCACGGGUGCGUAACGCGUGAGCAACCUACCUCUAUCAGGGGGAUAGCCUCUCGAAAGAGAGAUUAACACCGCAUAACAUAUGUGACCGGCAUCGGUUGGAUAUUAAAUAUUUAUAGGAUAGAGAUGGGCUCGCGUAACAUUAGCUAGUUGGGAGGGUAACGGCUUACCAAGGCGACGAUGUCUAGGGGCUCUGAGAGGAGAAUCCCCCACACUGGUACUGAGACACGGACCAGACUCCUACGGGAGGCAGCAGUAAGGAAUAUUGGUCAAUGGGCGGAAGCCUGAACCAGCCAUGCCGCGUGCAGGAUGACUGCCCUAUGGGUUGUAAACUGCUUUUGUCCAGGAAUAAACCUAGAUACGUGUAUCUAGCUGAAUGUACUGGAAGAAUAAGGAUCGGCUAACUCCGUGCCAGCCGCCGCCGUAA
This 506-nucleotide ribosomal RNA is filed under the name uncultured bacterium. Its description in RNAcentral is "partial 16S ribosomal RNA". It matches the Rfam family "Bacterial small subunit ribosomal RNA", at positions 28 to 523 of the family's 1533-position model. The record is from RNAcentral.